RNAcentral lists this transfer RNA (73 nucleotides) under Ictidomys tridecemlineatus (thirteen-lined ground squirrel). RNAcentral describes it as "Spermophilus tridecemlineatus (thirteen-lined ground squirrel) tRNA". It matches the Rfam family "tRNA". Rfam says of the family: Transfer RNA (tRNA) molecules are approximately 80 nucleotides in length. Their secondary structure includes four short double-helical elements and three loops (D, anti-codon, and T loops). The record is from Rfam by way of RNAcentral. Lineage: Eukaryota; Metazoa; Chordata; Mammalia; Rodentia; Sciuridae.
GGGGAUAUAACUCAGUUGGUAGAGCACUUGCCUUGUAUGCACAAGGCACUGGGUUUGAUCCCCAACAUCCCCC